UCUAAUAUGGCAGAGAAGUGCAAUGGAUUUAAGCCCCAUAUAUAAAGAAUACUUUUAUUAGAA
This 63-nucleotide transfer RNA is filed under the name Furcilarnaca wufengensis. RNAcentral describes it as "tRNA-Leu". RNAcentral also lists the same sequence under 1 other name. Lineage: Eukaryota; Metazoa; Arthropoda; Insecta; Orthoptera; Gryllacrididae. The record is from RNAcentral.